CGGGCCUCGGCCAGGCCUGAGAGGCCGGGAGGGUUUGACCCUGGGGCUGCAUGGACAGCUUAGCGCUCGGCCGCUGGCGACGGCGGAGGGCGGAGGAUCUGCAGGUUCCGGGGGACGUGAAACGGGUAUGCAGGAGAUUAGAAGCCAGUGGGCACGAGCGUGGCUGCCACCAGGUGAAUGCCUGUGCCCUGGCGUCCUGGGGCCCAGAGGACCGGGAGCUUCCAUCAAGAGGCUGCCCCCCAGCACCAAGGCCAGAAAGUGGCCAGGGGAGGCUAAGUACAGGGAUUUCUCAGAAUGGUGGAAGGAGCUCAGCCCAGCCUUGCCCAAGAUGUAUUGCAGGGGAAUCUGGACAUUUUAGCCAUACCAAGAAUCAUUAGAAGAUGCAAGCUGGAAAAAAGAAGGUCCCAGUUUUGGUUUUGAACCCUUCAUGUUGCAGCAAAUGUGAAUCUCCUACAGAUGGGUUUGGGGACUUACCUGUUCAAAUAGCAGCCCGGUGUCCUCUGUGGGUGGGGGGAGGUUUGUCUGUCCUUUCAUUCUAGUAAAUCCACCAUCCUCUGCACGAGAGCCAGGAGAAUCCACAUCACUUCAAAAGAGCCCCCAAAUCCUUACGUACUACAGCCUCCUUUCGAAUGUUCCUGGUUGAGAGGGAGAUCAAUUGCAUUAUUUACAAGUCAAAAAAUUUUGUAUCAAACUUCCUAUGAGCUUGGGCACUGAUGGCCUAUGGAGGCCCACCCAGACGCAGCCCUGCCAUCAUGCUUUUUCAUUGUUUUGUGGAUGUACCCAGGGCUAUUUACACACUCUUUCAUUAAAA
Molecule: long non-coding RNA, 811 nt
Filed under: Pan troglodytes (chimpanzee)
Lineage: Eukaryota; Metazoa; Chordata; Mammalia; Primates; Hominidae
Description: long non-coding RNA NONPTRT002402
Source: RNAcentral